CCUACGGGGGGCAGCAGUCGAGAAUUUUUCACAAUGGGCGAAAGCCUGAUGGAGCGACGCCGCGUGGGGGAUGAAUGGCUUCGGCCCGUAAACCCCUGUCAUUUGCGAACAAGUUGGUUCAAUUAACACCUGAACCAUUGAUUGUAGCGGAAGAGGAAGGGACGGCUAACUCUGUGCCAGCAGCCGCGGUAAUACAGAGGUCCCAAGCGUUGUUCGGAUUCACUGGGCGUAAAGGGUGCGUAGGCGGUGAGGUAAGUCUGACGUGAAAUCUCCGGGCCUAACCCGGAAACUGCGUUGGAUACUAUCUCGCUCGAGGAAUGGAGGGGAGACUGGAAUACUUGGUGUAGCAGUGAAAUGCGUAGAUAUCAAGUGGAACACCAGUGGCGAAGGCGAGUCUCUAGACAUUUCCUGACGCUGAGGCACGAAAGCCAGGGGAGCAAACGGGAUUAGAUACCCCAGUAGUCC
This 465-nucleotide ribosomal RNA is filed under the name uncultured bacterium. RNAcentral describes it as "bacterial SSU rRNA". It matches the Rfam family "Bacterial small subunit ribosomal RNA", at positions 338 to 796 of the family's 1533-position model. The record is from RNAcentral.